UACGGAGGGUGCGAGCGUUGUCCGGAAUCAUUGGGCGUAAAGAGCUCGUAGGCGGUUCGUCGCGUCGGCUGUGAAAACCCGGAGCUCAACUCCGGGCCUGCAGUCGAUACGGGCGGACUUGAGUGUUGCAGGGGAGACUGGAAUUCCUGGUGUAGCGGUGAAAUGCGCAGAUAUCAGGAGGAACACCGGUGGCGAAGGCGGGUCUCUGGGCAACUACUGACGCUGAGGAGCGAAAGCGUGGGAGCGAACAGG
RNAcentral lists this ribosomal RNA (252 nucleotides) under uncultured bacterium. Its description in RNAcentral is "partial 16S ribosomal RNA". It matches the Rfam family "Bacterial small subunit ribosomal RNA", at positions 524 to 776 of the family's 1533-position model. The record is from RNAcentral.